Sebastes umbrosus (honeycomb rockfish) is the source of this 712-nucleotide long non-coding RNA. RefSeq lists it as uncharacterized. The record is from RefSeq and is a predicted model, not a curated record. NCBI's taxonomy places the organism in Eukaryota, Metazoa, Chordata, Actinopteri, Perciformes, Sebastidae. The transcript is spliced from 3 exons.
AUAAAAGUUAAAGCAAUAGGGAGAGAAACAGAAGACAACUAGGAGCUACAACUAAAACGGUUUUUACUGGAGACUAUAAAACGGCAGUGGUCGGUAGUUGAGAGUAAAUACAAGUGAGUUAGUAAACUCGGUUGCUGUUGUUAGCUGCUAAUUAGCCGCGCGCUAACUGCUCGCGCUAGCUUGGAAGUGCGGACAUCCCCGUGACUUUCCCUCGCUGAAAACUUUCCCUUGUUUACUGCUUCAAGAAGCCAGACACGUGGUUUUCUGCCUGGACGCCUCGUUUCCUGCUUGUCCAGCCUUCUCAGCACAGAAAUCGGUCAGGUUUUUUCAACACCCCAGACUUCGUUCCUAUUUUUUUUGGGACUCCUUUUUAUUGGACUUCAACUUAAACUUACCUUUUAAUUCCUGGAACUGUGUGUUAGUGGCCGAGUGGUGGUAUAUCCUCCUUCAGUGAAUGGUGUUUGUAAAAUGUUUGAUAUUAUUAUUUUUAAUUUUUUAUGAGUGUUUGAACUGAAUGUGAAUUUUGAAACUUAUACUUGAGUUUAAGGUUAAUACGGAAAAUGCAGGUUAAAGGGUGCACCCAAGAUAGACCCAAGAUAGAGUUGAGAUAUUUUGAACUUGAUACUGCAGUUUUUCCUUUGUUCAUAUUUGUGACGUCAAAUCUUUUAUCAUAUUUCUAUACUACUAAAGCCGGUAUAUUUUUGCAUUUAAA